RNAcentral lists this transfer RNA (73 nucleotides) under Actinomycetes bacterium. RNAcentral's name for it is "tRNA-Ala". It matches the Rfam family "tRNA". Rfam says of the family: Transfer RNA (tRNA) molecules are approximately 80 nucleotides in length. Their secondary structure includes four short double-helical elements and three loops (D, anti-codon, and T loops). The record is from RNAcentral. RNAcentral also lists the same sequence under 3 other names. Lineage: Bacteria; Bacillati; Actinomycetota; Actinomycetes.
GGGGCUGUAGCGCAGCUGGUAGCGCACUUGCAUGGCAUGCAAGGGGUCAGGGGUUCGACUCCCCUCAGCUCCA